Molecule: unclassified non-coding RNA, 87 nt
Filed under: Pseudomonas palleroniana
Lineage: Bacteria; Pseudomonadati; Pseudomonadota; Gammaproteobacteria; Pseudomonadales; Pseudomonadaceae
Source: RNAcentral
GUGGGAGGGGGCUUGCUCCCGAUGGCGGAGUGUCAGUCGAUACAUGAUUGACUGAUCUACUGCCAUCGGGAGCAAGCCCCCUCCCAC